UACGGAGGGUGCAAGCGUGGUCCGGAUUUAUUGGGUUUAAAGGGUGCGUAGGCGGCUUUUUAAGUCAGUGGUGAAAUCCAACAGCUCAACUGUUGAACUGCCAUUGAUACUGGAGAGCUUGAGUACAGACGAGGUAGGCGGAAUUUAUGGUGUAGCGGUGAAAUGCAUAGAUACCAUAAAGAACACCGAUUGCGAAGGCAGCUUACUAGGCUGUAACUGACGCUGAGGCACGAAAGUGUGGGGAUCAAACAGG
Molecule: ribosomal RNA, 253 nt
Filed under: uncultured bacterium
Lineage: Bacteria
Description: partial 16S ribosomal RNA
Rfam family: Bacterial small subunit ribosomal RNA
Source: RNAcentral